Molecule: long non-coding RNA, 4646 nt
Organism: Oryzias javanicus (javanese ricefish)
Lineage: Eukaryota; Metazoa; Chordata; Actinopteri; Beloniformes; Adrianichthyidae
Source: Ensembl
CUGUACUGAGCAGUUUACCAGUAACAGCAGAGGUCUUUGGAACGACGAUUUUGGAAGUUUUAUUUUUAAGCCUUCUUUUUUUAUUAUAUAUAUAUACAUAAUUUUUUUUUCUGUCUUUGAAUAGGCAACGCAUUAAAGCUGUUUCCAGACUAUUAUGGAUCCCAACCGUCAAAACCAGAUUGCAAGCGCUCCUCCACAGGAAUGGAAUGAGAAUAAGUCCUUUCCUAGUGGUAACUCUGCUCCUCCACCUUACCAGGCUUUCCAGUACCCAGGAUCCUUUCAGCCUGGAAUGGGAUUCCCACAGCCACAGGGAUUUGGAAGCCCACCACCAUUUCCAGCUGCAGCAAAUGGACAGCAGCAGCCGUACCCUCCAGGCUUCCAGUACCCAGCCCACCCAGGCAUCUUCAGUGUCGCACCCCCGGUUGUAGUUACAGAGGCCCUUUAGAAAAUCCUGUUAACGACUUCAUGUGCUACUCCAUCUUCACCACCUUCUUCUGCUGCCUGCCGUUCGGAGUCGCCGCCCUCAUCCAUUCCAGCGCUGUGAGUUUUCUUUAGUCUCUUACUACAGUUUGGAGUCAAACUGAUUGACAUACAACAAAUUGAUUUAGAUCUUUACAAUACUUACAUUUGGUUGAUGUUGCUGGACUAAUUACCAAUUUUAAACUUUUUGGCUUAAAUCAACAUAUCAUUGUUAGGUCACCCAUGAAUGUAUCAUUAACUAAACUAAUUUGUGACUAGCUAAUGAUUGACCACCAACAACCAGGAUUUCCUUAUCUUUGUCCCACUAGUUAGGCAAACUUUUCAGUAAAUUAUGACAUCAGAAAUACAUUUUCCAGGGCUGUAAAUUAUUUUUUUUUCAAGAUGGUUAUGGCUAUGUCUCAGUUUUUUUCUGGAUUAUUCCCACAUAAACAAAUUUUAUUAAAUCAGAAUGGUGACUUUAAAUCAUUCACUGCUUAAAAUUGAACAUUUGUUGUUGUAGUCCUCCAUGUUUGACCUCACCGUGGGUUGACUUCAUCCUAUAAGAUUGGUCUCAAUUAUUCCAUGAAGAAAUGGGUAUGGAUAAUAGAUGGAUGGAUGCAUUAACUGUUAAUAAUUAACCAGCAGGUUAUUUGGAUUGGUCAUUUGUUCCUCACCGCCUCUCAUUGCAAAGUAAAAGACCUAAAAAGGGGUCCAAAUGAGGCAAAAAUCACACUAAUCCUAGGGGAAAUCUUAAUAGACAAGACUAAAAAUCCUUAAAUCCAGAGUAUUUGUUGAGCUAAUGUGACCUCGACUGAAUUGUUUUCUUUUGAAUGCUUUUCUGUUUCCAAUGUGUUUUCUAAAAAAAAAAAAAAAAGGGGUAAAUGUUCCUGACUAAAAUUGGCAUUCUUCCCCCACACAAAAACAAACAAAGGCAGUUUAAACAACCACGAAGAAUCUACAAAGGGGAUAAAGCACCGUGCCCUGAUGAGUCCGUCCUCAUGGAAGCGUGCAGUUAAGGGAGGGUGGAAGGCUGAAAUGGUUUAUUGUGAAAGGGAGUUGCUCCAUUUCUGUUAGCACUCUGCCCUUUAUUGUAUCCAUGGAAAAGUACCUGUUGUGUUUUCAAAAACUGGAUUAACAAUCAAAAAAGUCUAAUGUUUCAUUAUGAGAAAAGAUCUUUAGAAAUCAGCUUCUUCACUAACGGGAAAUUAAACAUCAUAAAGACAUCAGAUGCUGUAAAAAGACUUGUGACUGUCAGCUGCUUUAAAAAGACUUAGCGUAAUCAACCUUUAGCUCAAGGAACAUAUAAUUGCCACAUUCAUAAUUUGUCAUGUGAAGGGUGGACUUUGUGUGUUCUUUCCAACAUGUGUUUGGAGAGUUAGAGCUCCUGUAUUUAUGUCAUGACAAAAAAAAAAUGUAAUUCCUCUGAUCUUUCUGUAAAGAAAAUGUAUGUUUUAAUAAUUCCUGGUCAGUCCUCCUUGGAAAUUGUGCUUUUAUAUCCAUAGUGAUCAAUUUAAGUAAAUUAUGGGAGUGUUCUGAGGGAGUCAUGGGGCUAUUGGAGCCCAGUCAUACAUGCAAAAAAAUAAAAAAAAUAAACUAAAACAAAGCUAAAAAUACUAUAGAGCAAUAUAUAAGACUAGUGAUGGAUGGUUUACCUGACUGCAGCUUUGCUGACAUUAUGACAUUAGAGAUUAUAUUGAAUAUGUAUUUGAUAUUUUACAUUAGAUAGUAUCAUUAAUCUUUAAAGACCCACUAAAAUGAAAAUUGUGUUUUAUAAUGAAUUUUUUUUAGCAUUUUUCUCACAAUGAUUGACAUACUCAAUUAAUUUUGAUGAACUACUGCUGUUUUCUACAGAAACUAUGUCCCAGAUAACAACACAUGGUUGAUUUUGCCUUAAAAAUGACAUAUUCAUGAUUAAAAGACCACUUGGAAUGCUUUUACAAUAAAUCAAAAGAUGAUUGAACUAUUAUAUAGUAUUAUUUUUUAACAGGACCUAUUCCCAAAAAUUUAAGCAAUCGCUUAAAGUUUAAGCUUAAAGAGUUUAAAUUGAACAGCAAAGUUUCGUACAACUUCAUAUUUAAGUUUUUCUUUAGUCUCUCAUCACCUGUGAUUUUCUUUCCUCCACCUAUAGGCCAGCAGAGCCAAUCAGAGGGGCGACCGGGAUACAGCAGAGAGAAGCGCCAGAUUAGCUCGGAACCUAAAUCACGUCGCUGUGGGGUUUGGGAUUCUGACUUACAUCACAUGUAUUACUGUCAUUGUGUUGGUUUUUUUUAUCUAUUAGUCAGUUGGAGCAUCUAUGUUUGAUGCUUACGCCCAUGCGUUACGAAAGCGUUAUUGACUUUCUGAUUUAAAAAAACAGACAAACCCACAAGAUAUGUUUGAAAAAUCUUGAAAAUAUUGUUGCAAAGAAACUGUGAUCAUGUCUGAAGAUCAGUAAAUGUUUAAAUAUUGUAAAGCUGUUCUUACAUCUAUGUACAUACGUUACAUUUUAGUUAUCAAAUGAUUGUUUUUAUUUGCACUAAAGCAGUGUCUCGCAAUUUGGGGCACAUGUACUCCUUAGGGUUAUGCAUUACACAUUUUUAGGCUUUUCAAGUAGAUUUAAUAUAUUUUUUUAAAAUCAUGCAAAAAAUGUUUAAAACACUUUUACAACACACAUUUCACAGAAAAUUUAUUUUAAACAUGAAUUCUGCAAUUGUCUUUUCAAAAUAAAGGAAUUCUAUUUGCUUAUUGGUCUUUUUUUAUUUUAUUUUGGGUCAGAAUUUUUCAUCAACAGCAUAAAACUAUGGAUUGAUCCUGUCUUGCAUCAAUGGUUCAGGCUGAUAGUGGUGGUAUAAUGACCUGGGGAAUCUUUUCUUGACACACUUUGGACCCCUUAGUACCAGUUGAGCAUCAUUACAACUCUACAGCCUACCUGAGUAUUGUUGCUGGCCGUGUCCAUCCCUUCAUGAACAGAGUGCACCAUCUUCUGAUGGCUACUUCUAGCAAGAUAUCGUGCCAUGUCAGAAAGCUGGAAUCAUCUCAAACUGGUUUCUCUAACACGACAAUGAGUUCACUGGACUCAAAUUUUCUCCACAGUCACCAGAUCUCAACCCAAUACAAUGGGUUCAUAAUUAUUAUGCAAAUUAUAGUUUUCUAUGAUUUUUCUAAACACUCAGUGACAGCAAAAUUUCUGAGUCACUGACCAUUAAAGUAAAUGUUAUUGAACCAAACCUCCUAAAGAUAACAGUAUUUGUUUCAACCAUGAAAACCCUAAAAUACUCUGUUUCACAACAUUUGAUAGAUUUAAAAGAACUGAAAAUGAUCAAUUUUUGAAUUUGCUGCAUUAGGAGGUCAUAUUUACUGUAAUUUACUUUCAUUGUCAUACCUUCAGGGACCCAAAAGGGGCCGACCAACUCUUUCCCCUUGAUUCCGUUCCAUACCAUGACUCUGCCACCUCCUUUCUGACAUUGCAGCCUUGUUAGGACAUGGUGGCCAUCCACCAACCAUCGCACUACUCCAUCCAUCUGGACCAGCCAGGGUUGUAUGGUACUCAUCAGUGAACAAGACUCCUCGUCUUCGUGUCUGUCUGGGAUCACUGCAGUCAUUUCUGCUUGUUAGUAUUGUUUAGGGGUGGCCCAAUAGAAUAUUUACGUAUGAAUGCAAGCCUCUGGAGGAUACUACACCUUGAUGUUUGUGGAACUCAGCAGCUUCAAAUGUGUGCUUGCUGCUUUGUAAUGGUAUUUAGCAGCUGCUCUCUUAACCUGUGUAUUCAUCUGGCAGAAAUCUUCCUCAUCCUGUUUUUAUCAUCACAAACCCAUGUGCAUUCUGAAUCAGCCACACAUCGCUUAAUAGUACGAUGAUCUUACGGCUCUGGGAAUCAGGAUUCUUGUUCUCAUCCCAGCAAGUAGCUCCUUAGUAUACAAUUUCAUCACAGGUCAUAAUGAAUAAUUGUCAUUAAGUGUACUCUGCCCACACCAUAAAGGGACUACACAUCUACUUUUGACAGUUGAAUUUUUUAAUUUCUUUUUUAAUAUCUCUCUGAAAUUCUGUUGUUCAUUCUAACUGAUGUUGAAACAACUUUUAAGACAUGAGAACAAAGGAGCCGUUGUGGCAGAAACAGUGUCUUGCCUAAUAUUAUCUGUAAAGAUGUACAUUAUUGAACUGUUGCUGUGAGUGUCUUGUUAUGCAUUUUCAUUUUUGUUUCUUUGAAU